AUUGGUCUGAACCUUCUUCAUCGUUAAAACAAAUAUGGCGACCACGUUGCGAGAAUGCAGAGUGCAGGCAGAGUGUUAAGAGGCACUUAUUUACGUCAAGAAUUCGUACCGUACUAAAACAAGAAAACAAAAGCACAAGUACAAACAUGGUACAAAGAACCAUGGAUUAUGGUCGGGGAGAAGAAAAUAUUUUCGCACAGUUCAGGGUCUCCUCAGUAAGUUUAGUUUUAGCGGUUUUAGUGAGAAUUGUAGAACUUCAGCGAAGAGUGUGGUGAGUAAAAGUGGAGUGUAGAAAUUCAAAUGUUAUAAAUAUGGUCGGGAAUAGUUGUACAGAAAAGAAAGACAAUUUUUGAAUAAAUUUAUGAAGAGGUUGCAAAAUGUGUGAUAUGCAGGAAGCAGGAUAGCAGCCAGAGGACAUAAUUUACUGGCUUAGAACAUUGGAAACUAGAAAACUGCAGGAAUCUGUUGAUGUCACACCAUGUUCUUUUAACUUAUGACUUGAAAGGAAUAUUGCAUUAAAAGAGAAAUAUGCUAGUGGCUUUGGCUACAACAGUAACUCCACAUAUUCUUCUGUAUUCAUCGAGCAGCCUUAAUUGGAUAUGGGAGCAGGAGUUCUCACCUUUCAAUAUUCCAUCUCCCAGAAGUUCCCCUAGCCCUGUUAAGGAUCAAAGACUGACGCCGAUCAUCACCCGAUCAGAUUUGGAGUUUUUAAUUGUAGCUGUAUGUGGUGUGUUGGCGGCUUCUUGGUGAAGACGGGAUGAUCAUGAUUUGACCCAUCCCCAGGAACGUCAACCUAAAGAAAUAAAGGCCAGUUUGCAUUUUCUUCACGCUCGAAGGUCGAAACAAAAACGUAAAACGUGUCAUGCGACGGGGGAGAGGUUGGGUGAGGACGACACGUGUUGCAUCAUAAUCAAGCAGGUACAAUAGCCGCAAGGCUUAAGAUGU
Molecule: long non-coding RNA, 945 nt
Organism: Daphnia pulicaria
Lineage: Eukaryota; Metazoa; Arthropoda; Branchiopoda; Diplostraca; Daphniidae
Exons: 5
Source: RefSeq, a predicted model, not a curated record